RNAcentral lists this ribosomal RNA (289 nucleotides) under uncultured Polyangiaceae bacterium. Its description in RNAcentral is "partial 16S ribosomal RNA". Lineage: Bacteria; Pseudomonadati; Myxococcota; Polyangiales; Polyangiaceae. The record is from RNAcentral.
CUACCAGGGUAUCUAAUCCUGUUUGCUCCCCACGCUUUCGCGUUUCAGCGUCAGUCACUGUCCAGAAGGCCGCCUUCGCCACCGGUGUUCCUCUCGAUAUCUACGAAUUUCACCUCUACACCGAGAAUUCCGCCUUCCUCUCCAGGACUCCAGCUUCGCAGUUUCGAAUGCACUUCCUAGGUUGAGCCCAGGGCUUUCACAUCCGACUUUUGAAGCAGCCUACACGCGCUUUACGCCCAGUAAUUCCGAACAACGUUUGCACCCUCUGUCUUACCGCGGCUGCUGGCAC